Molecule: transfer RNA, 75 nt
Filed under: Peptococcaceae bacterium
Lineage: Bacteria; Bacillati; Bacillota; Clostridia; Eubacteriales; Peptococcaceae
Description: tRNA-Thr
Rfam family: tRNA
About the family: Transfer RNA (tRNA) molecules are approximately 80 nucleotides in length. Their secondary structure includes four short double-helical elements and three loops (D, anti-codon, and T loops). Further hydrogen bonds mediate the characteristic L-shaped molecular structure. tRNAs have two regions of fundamental functional importance: the anti-codon, which is responsible for specific mRNA codon recognition, and the 3' end, to which the tRNAs corresponding amino acid is attached (by aminoacyl-tRNA synthetases). tRNAs cope with the degeneracy of the genetic code in two manners: having more than one tRNA (with a specific anti-codon) for a particular amino acid; and 'wobble' base-pairing, i.e. permitting non-standard base-pairing at the 3rd anti-codon position.
Source: RNAcentral
GCCGACGUAGCUCAACGGUAGAGCAGCUGAUUUGUAAUCAGCAGGUUGCCGGUUCGAAUCCGGCCGUCGGCUCCA